RNAcentral lists this long non-coding RNA (13993 nucleotides) under Manihot esculenta (cassava). Its description in RNAcentral is "long non-coding RNA (MESC_LNC006240)". Lineage: Eukaryota; Viridiplantae; Streptophyta; Magnoliopsida; Malpighiales; Euphorbiaceae. The record is from RNAcentral.
AGCAUGACGGAAGCUCUGGUAAACAUUUAAGUCUCUUGCAACCUUUUAAUGAAAGCCACUUCAACUCAGUUAGAUGUUUAAUGCUUGCAGGUGUCGUCUUGAAAUUGUUUCCACCUAAAAGUAAGCCUUCCAAUGACACUAAAAACCAAAGACUCUGGGGAAUUUCUAAUAUACCACAGUCACUUAAAUCAAUUUUCCUUACACAGGACAGACCUGUCAAAGGAGGCAAUAUAAAACCUUCACAUCUCGAACAUGUUAACUUUUCCAAUCUUCUCAAUUGAUUGAUGGAGGAUGGUAAUGUUUUUAUUCCACUUCUAGAUAUAGAGAGGUUCUUCAGCAAUUCUAGAUCCCCCAUGUUCUCUGGCAAUGCUUUGACAUUCAAACAGCCUGAGAUAUAAAGGUGUGUAAGAGAUUUCAAAUUGCAGAUGCUUUGUGGAAUACUAUGCAGUUUUGAGCAGUAUCUGAGAUCAAUUUCUUUUAGACAUUUAGACUCGCCAAUGCUGCUAGGAAUCUCAAUCAAGUUUCUACAUGCUAUCAAAUAUAAAACCUCAAGAUUUGGGGCACUAGACAAGUCUGGAACUUUAGUUAACUCAAAAGAGUAGCUGAGGUCUAAAAAUUUCAAACUUUCAAGAGCCUGUAAUCAAAACGUCAAUAAAAUUAGCAGAAGCUAAUUAACUCUGCACAAUGUAGCUAAAUUUUAUAAAGCAGCAUAAUAACUCUAACCUUCUCUUGAUUCCAGAGUUGGAUGAGGUUGCUCCGUGGCAUGUGAAGUUCUACAAGAUUUCUCGGGCAAAAAUUUAUUGGCAAGGAUUUCAAAGGGUACCCUUCCCAAUGAUGAUAUCUUAGCUCCUUUGGUAGAAAUUCAAGGCCACUAGGUAGAAGCACUCGUCUUGGUCUGGAUGUAGAAACAUUGAAGAAUUUGAGAAAUCUAAGAUUGCACAUGUUCAUGAAAGCUGUGGGACUUAGCUCCAAAUAUCCAUUUCCAGACAUAUCAAGUAAUAUGCCUUCAAUAUUUUCAGUUCCCUAAGAAAAUAACAACAAACAUUAUAGGCACUGCACUUAAUUCUUAAAACUGCAUAUAAAUAAUAUCUAUGUAUAAUUAAGAAUAUGCACAUUAAUUCUUUUGGUCCAUACCUUGUCUCUUGUCAAUACAUGACAAAUAUCCUUAUAUUUCCACAACCUGCUGCGUGUCCCAAGUUGUUUGGACUCCUCACAAACAACAUCCUUGCCCAUUUGUUGUAGCAAGUCAUGCAUGCCUACCUUACCAUUUGAAACAGUUAUGAGAGAUUUAUCAAUUAAACGGCUUAUCGCUCUUCUUGGAAAGAAACCACAACCUUCAAAUAUUCUUUCGACACGAUCUUUAGGCUCGCCUUUAAGGAAACAUGCAAUAUCAAGAAAUAUGAUCUUUUCAUGACGUUCUAGUCCAUCAUAACUUAUUCUCAAAACUGCCUGAAUAUUCAUAUCAGGAAUUUCUUUCAAUUUUUCCAACUCACUUUCCCAUUCUUCAAUCCCCUUAUUAUACAAAUUAGAGCCUAAAAUUACAAGAGCCAAUGGAAUACCUUGAGCAUAUGUUAUCAACUUCUUUGAUAUUUCCACAUAUCCUUUCUUGGGAUGAUUUUGUUUGAAGGUAUACAAGCUAAAGAGACAAAGAGCUUCAUCAUCAGUUAAUUUUUCAACCUUGUAUUUGUAUCCCUCCGAACAAACAUUUUUAAGUACUUGUCUAUCUCUGCUUGUUACAAUGAUUCUACUACCAUUGUGGUACAAAGCACACUCUCCUGCUAAAAGCUUUAGAUGGUUUGGAUCAUCCACGUCAUCAAAAACAAUGACAACCUUUUUACUCUGAAGUCUUCUCCUAAUGAAAGGGGGUAGCCGAGGUGUGCUUACAUUUAAAUUCUUUUCUCCUAACAAUUGGUUAAUGAUUUUAUCUAAUAAAACAACAGGUGUUUGUUUUCUCACCUCCUCUCUGACAUUAACAACAAAACAGUGUCCAUCAAAUUUAUCCAUAAUUCGAUUAAAUACUUCACCAGCAAUAGUUGUCUUGCCAAUACCUCCCAUCCCCCAAAUUCCUAUUACUCUUCUAUCAUUUAUUGAUUCAAUACAUAACAAGGAUUCCACUUUCUUCAGACGUGAUUCAAUCCCAACUAAGUUGUCAUUGUAAGAAUCACUUGAGGAGAUGAGACUUAAUUUCUCCCAAACAUCAUUGGCAAUUUCCUCAACUAGUUUGGAUUCAGACCUAAUACAUAUGAAGAACAAAUGCUAGUAAGUCAAAGCAAACCACCCUUAGAGGCUUAGACUCGCUUCUAAGUAAAUUGAUAAUAUACGAUUACAUAUACAUGCAAACAAAAACAAGAAUAGUAAAAAAAUCAACAGAAUUACUUGAUUUUCCGUGAAUCCCAUCCUGAUAAAUUGCUUAUUGCCGUCAGAGCACGACGCCACUUAUCCACCUUGUCUAAACAACCUUUGACUUCUUCUCCAUGCUUAGCAACCGCAAAUGCCUCGCCGAAAUCCCCAAUGAGAUCUUGAACAUCAGUUGGAUCUACAUUGUAAAAAAUUGGUAGGACUAAUCCUUCUAAAUUUCCCUUGCAUUCAAGUAUCUUCACAAGCUCAUCCAAGCACCAUGGAGAAUCUGCAUAAUUUUGAGAGAAAACAACAAUUGAGACAUAAGAAUCUUUAAUUGUUUCCAAGAGAGCAGGUGAGAUCUCUUCUCCUUUACGAAGGUCUUCAUCCAUGAAAAGAUUGAUUUGUUUUCGCUGCAAAGCAUCAAAGAGAUGGGAGAGAAAACCCACACGAAUAUCUUUGCCUCUAAAGCUAAUAAAAACAUCAUAUUUGCAAGGAGGGGUUGAAGAAGUAGCAUCCAUAGAUGAGUGAUGAAAGAAUGCUUGUGUAACUCCAACUGAGCUUGAAGAAGUUAAAGAGAGCAAGUGCCGUGCUAGACAAGCCAACAGGACUCUUCCUGGAAAAUGAUAUCUAAAUUGAAGUCGUCACCUAAUCGUCCGUAGAAACUUCAAGGAAAGAAACCCAAAACUUGCUAUCUAGGCAUGUUGCUAUCUGACACUCUUCUUCUCCUUUUCGCCUCAACUUUGCCUUGUCCACAAUCAGCCGGCUUCAGUUUCUCUACCACAAAUUUACAUUUUUUUACAUACAUUGAGUCUAUGAUUUCCAAUAAUAUCAGCCAUGUUAGUUUGACUAGCAAGAAGUGCUGUUGAAGAAUAAUAAUUUUUUUAUUUUAAUUUAUCUUUUAAUCUUUCUAUAUCAUUAAAUAAUAAAUUAUUAUGAAAAAUUAUAUAAUCAUUUUGGAAAUUUGUGAGAUAAUUUAUGAUAAUAUUUAUUUUAAUAUUUUUAAAAAUUAUUAUAUGUAAUUUUUGUGUACAAAAAGAUUUUAUAUGUUCGUGAAAAAUAAGAGAGAUAAUUUGAAUUUUUUUCGUAUGUGAUUUUCUAAUGGACUUGUGAAGUGAAUUUUUUUUUGUGUGAGAGAAUUUUUGAUUUUUGAGUCUUAAAAAUAGAGCAGUUUAAUAAUAAUUUGAUGAGAAUGGGUCCUCCAUUUUUUAAUGGAGAAAAUUAUCAUAUUUGAAUAAUUAAAAUGAAAUCUUAUUUAGAGUUUGUGGGAUGUUGUUAAAACCGAGCAGAUUCACUUAAUCUUAGUCCUGAUCCAACUCUAAAACAAAUCAAGAAUGAUGAAGAAUUAAUAAAGAAAAAGCUGAGAGUUUUAAUUUGUUUGCAUCUUAGUUUGAUGGAUAUGAUUUUUAUUAGAAUUAUGAAUUGUGAAAUUCUAAAGGAAGUAUGGAAUAAGUCCAAAGAGAAGUUUGAAGGGAGCGAUAGAGCAAAGACCGUUGACUUCUCACACUAAAAAGGCAACAUGAGAGAGAAAAAAGUAAGAAAAAAUAACUUAACGGAACAAUAUUGUUUCAUUCUAUUAUGUCGUUUGUUAUUGUUAACACUGUGCCAUUUUUCCUUGAGUAUAAUAUUUCACAAGCCUUCUGCAGAAGCCAAGUGAAGAGGCAAGCAGCAAAGAGAGUCUAACUCCUCGGCUAGUUUGGGCUUCCGCUUGAGGAGUGCUUGUGCAAAUUGAAGGUGACCUCGCAUGGCUGCAAUGUGCAAGGGAGUUUCAUGACAGGAAGUAAUGGUGACCCUAUCAAGAAUGAGUUGAUCUUGUUGAAGCAAUGCAUCUAAUUCAGCUACAUCCCCUUUCAGUGAUGAUUGAUAAAUGAUAAGCUGAUCAUGCUCGAUUGAGGGGUUGAGGUUCUCUAUAGACAUCCUAUGCAAAAGGGGGUGGUAAUAGGGUUCUGGUUAGAGGAUGCUUGCUUUUUAAGGAGAAUAAAGACGACAGUAAUAUAUAUAAAUGAUUUUACAAUAAAGCUGAUGACCAAUUUACGUGGUUAGAAUUGAUUUUGGCCAAUAUUUGGCACCUGUUAUUACCAGAAAUGCCUGGUAAUAUCUUGAAGUUUCAAGACAUCUCAUGACAUGUUAGAACUUUGAAGACAUCCUUAACAUCCUUAUUUCAUUAUCAUUAGUCAUUAUUAAUUCUUCAUCUAUAGCUGAAAGGAAGUAAAACGUGUUUAGGGGUGACAUCAAAGUGAAAUUACAAUAAAGGUCGUCACUAAGAAACACCUUUAUAACAAAAUAUAUAGAGAAUUACUUUUAAUUUUGUAAAAAAGUAAUUAAUUCAUUUUUAUUUUAAAAUCACUCGAUUAAAUAUUUUUAUUUCAACGAGAUAAUUUAUUUUUAAUUAUUCAGUUUUAAUUUAAAAAAUAAAAUUUAUUAAUAAAUUUAUAUGUAAAAUUUUAAUUUCAUUAUUUUUUAAAUUAUAAUUAAAGAAUGCAAAAUUAUAAUUAACUAAAAUUCUUUCUAUCAUAUUGUCGUAUGAUAUUUUACACACAAAUUAACUUAUUUAUUUAUAUUGUUUUUACUAUAUAUUUAUUCUAUUUUUAUUUUUUAACUGUCAUUAUUUUUAUUAUUAUUUUAAUUUUUAUAUUUAAAUAAUAUUUUUUUCGUUAAUAAUUUUUACCAAAAUUUAUGAUUAUAUUAUUUAUUUUUACUAAAGAUAUAAAUAAUUCUUCUUAUUUACUGCAGUAAGCACACGUAUAUUUGUUUCAUAAAUAAUUUGCAUAAAUAUAUUAAAAAUAUAAUAUGAGAAAUAUAAACAGGAAAAGUUUUAUAAAUUCUAGGGAGAUUUACAAUUUAGUUCAUGUGUAUUGUCAUUAUUAACAAGUCAGUUUCUGCAUUUUCAGAAACUUAUUAAAACGUCCUUACAUAAUCAAACCAUUAACAAAUCAGUCCUUCCAUCCACUGUUAUCCUUUUUUCCGUUAAAAAUAAAAUGAAAAGACCAAAAUAACCUUAGUGUAACUUUUCCCUAAAUCGAUAAUCUCUCUCCUCUAAUCCCUAACCUCUCUCUUCUCCCAAAAAUGAAAACCUCUCUUCUCAAAUCCCUAAUUUCUCUCUUCUUCCCUAAUCGAUAACCUCUCUCUUCCUAAAUCCCUAACUUUCUGUCUUCUCCCAAGUCGAUAACUUCUCUUCUCAAAUCUCUAACUUCUCUCUUCUUCCCUAAAUCCUCUAUUCUCCAUUUUGUUGGUUUUUGUCGAAGAGAAAUUAGUUUCUGUCGAAGUGAAGUUGUGGUCCCGAUUUUGUUGGUUUCUGUCGAACAAGUGGGGAAAGAUAACUUUUUGUGCUUUCUUUUGUUUGUUUUCUAUGGAUGUGUGACCAUAAAGUUUGUAUUAUAGUAAAGCAUGUGGGUACCACUUACUGUUACUGAUAGUUUUAGUGUAUUUUUUUUUUGGAGAUUUUAUAUAAUUAAAGAAUGUAUGAUUUAUAUGUGCAGGUCUGAAGACAUGACUGUGGAAGAGAGAUUUACUGUGGUGUUGAUAUAUGAAAAUAAAACUGAUUCCAUAUAUAAUGUCCCCAUUGGAAGGUAUUUGUACAUAUCCUUGUUGUCUGAUGUUUAUAAGAUGUUUAACAUAGCUGCAUCAUUUGUUACGUUUGUUGUUGGUAAUGGGAUGAGUGUAGAAAAUGAUGAUGAUUUAAUGUUGGCUUUUGAGUUGUACAAACCUAGUCAUAGAUUGCCUUUGACUGUACAAGUAAAAGGGGUCCCUCUUAACACUAAGAUGCCUGAUGAUGACGAUGAUGAUGAUGAUGUUAGUAUUAUUGGUGAGGGCAGUAAUACUGGUGAGGGCAUUAACCUUAGUGAGGGUGGUAAUAUUAAUUGUUGAGGAUAUUAACCUUGAUGAUGCCUUAGGUAGAAACACUCCCCCAUUAAGUAGGGAUGGGUCCACAAGAGGUAGGGGUAGGAGUGUGCCAUUAAGAGGAAAGGGAGGAAGAAGCAGUUUUACUAGAGGUAGAGGAAUAAGACAGGAAAGGGUUAGUGAAAGUGGGCAGUUAGGGGAAGAGGCCAAUGAAUCACCACAAAGUGAUUCUGAAAGUGAUGUAUCAUUCAAUGACAGUGAGGUUGGAGAUGAUUUACCUGAAGAAGUUGUAUUUGACAAUGAAAUUAGUAUUGAAGAGUCAAAUGGGUUAUCAGAUUAUGCUAGUGACAAUGACAAAGAGAUUGAAGAUAGUGAGAAUGAGUCUUAUGAUCCAAAUAAGAGGAAGAAAAAAUAUAUUGAUCCUUAUCAUGGCAUGUAUAAUGAUCCCUUCCAACACAAUGAAGGAGAAGGGAUUUUGUUUAAAGAGGGCCAAGUUUUUAAUGACAUUGCAACUUUGAGGAAUGCGAUGAGAGAUUAUGCUAUUAAGGGGGGAUAUGAUAUUACAAGAGUUAAAAAUGACUCUACUAGAUUAACAGCUAAGAGUUCCAGUACAGGAUGUCCCUAGAGGUUUCAUGCAUCAGUUCUGUCUGACCAAGUCACUUUCAUGGUUAAGACUCUGCAUGAUGAGCACACAUGCAUAAGACCAUUAAGAAAUGAAAAUUUGAAUUCAAACACUAAGUGGAUAGUAGAAAAACUAAGGGGAAAACUGAGGGUAGACCCUGACAUGAGUUAUGAACUCAUGCAGUAUGAGUUUAUGGAAAAAUGGAGUGUGGAAGUUCCUGUGUGGCAAUUAUAUAGAGCCAGGUGCAAGGCUAGAGAUGAGAAUAUAGGCAUGCAUUGUGAAAGUUUCAAAAAACUUAAGAAAUAUGUCCAUUAUUUGCAAACAUAUAACCCAGGUAUAGUUGUAAAAAUUCAGCCACCUCCAAGGGUUAAUGAAGAUGAUCCUUUUGUUUUUCAAAGAAUAUGGAUUAUGUUUGAUGUUAUAAAGUUUGGAUUUGAGAAUGGUUGCAGACCCUUUAUAGGAUUAGAUGGUUGUCACUUGAAGGGUCCAUAUGGAGGGAUUUUCCUAGUUGCAGUCAUACUGGAUGGAAAUAGAGGUGUGCUACCUCUUGCAUUUUCUAUAGUUGAAGCAGAAUGUAGUGAUAGCUGGACUUUUUUCCUAGAGAAUCUUUAUUCUUGCAUUGGUGGAGGAACUGAUGAUAGGCCUUUAACUAUUAUGUCAGAUAAGCAAAAGGUAUGAAUUAAUAUUCACUUUUUUUUUAAUUUAGCAUAUUGAAUUAUAUGCUAUUAAUUUAAGUUACUAACUAUUUUUUUGGUUGUAGGGACUCGUUGAUGCUGUCAAAAAUAUAUUUCCCAAUGCAUCUCAUAGAGUUUGUUGCAGGCAUUUAUACAUGAAUUUCAAGAAAGAGUUCCCUGGACUCAUGCUCAGAGAUGAUUUUUGGAAUGCUGCAAAGAGUACUCAUUCUUAUGAGUUUUGGCUUCACAUGAAGAAUUUGAAUCCCAAGCGAGAUCAAAAGCCAUAUCACUGGUUGAUCAACAUACCCUUCAGUCAAUGGAAUAGACAUGCAUUCUGGCCUGAAGCUAAGUGUGACAAUUACACUAACAACAUGACCGAAUCAUUCAAUGCAUGGAUAGUGAAAUUGAGAGGUUUGCCUAUUAUCAAUAUUAUUGAAUCAAUUAGGCAGAAACGUAUGGUUAGGUUGCAUAAAAGAUUUGUUAAAGCUCGACCAUGAGAAGAGAUAGUUACACCAAUAAUAAAGAAAGUAUUGAAUAAAAUCAUUACUGCCAAUAGGUUUCUUAAGUUGCUCCCUGGUAGAAAUGAAGAGUAUGAGGUUCAUGAGGGUCCAUGUAGGUUUGCUAUAAGUUUAGCUAAAAGGACAUGCAGUUGUGAAUGAUGGGAUAUAAGUGGUUUACCAUGCAAGCAUUCUGCCAGAGCAAUUGCAUAUGUUAGGGGUAAUAUUGAAGAGUUUUGCCAUGAAUAUUACACUGUGCAGUGCUAUUCAAGAGUUUAUGCAGGUGCCAUAAAUCCUAUUCUUCAAACUGAGCUUGAAUCUGAUAAUGAACACCCAUCAAUGUUGCCACCUCCUUUGAGGAGGCGACCAGGAAGGCCAAGAAAGGCUAGAAAGAGAGAUGAGAGUGAACCACCAGCAAGAGGAAGGAAGACAUCAAUUGUCACUUGUGUUAGGCGCUUACGAACAGGCCACAAUAAGAGAACUUGCCAAUAUAUUGCUGUUGGGGUGACUAUACAUUUGUUUGCUUGCAUAUAAUGAAUCUAUUUUAACCUUUUUAACCUUUUUAUGUAUUUUUCUAAUUGCAGGCAUGGCUGCAAGUCAAAAGAAGAGGAAACACACUACUGCAUUAGGUACAGGGACUUCAAGAGUGGUUAAUACUAAUCAAGUGGGAUCAAGUGGUGGACCAAUAACCUAAAGGAGCCUUUGAAAUAUAAAAUUAUCUUUUUGAGAAUUUUGUUAGUUGAUGGGAUAUGAUUUAUACAUUUUGGAAAAACAUGUUUUUUGGGACAUUGGAUUGUAAAUCUGAGAAUAUUGUAAAUCUGUGCACAGAUUCUUUUUUAGGGGAGUUUAUCAUAGAUAUUGGUAUAAUGUUACAGAUAUUGGCCUUACUUGACCAUUAAAAUGGCAGUAAUAGAUGUAUGACAUUGUAAUGAUCAAGUCUGAUUUUGUAAUACAUAUUUAAACAAAAAGGAUAUAUUAAUGAAGUUAUGCUUUUAAUUUCAUUUGCUCAGCUCCAAUUUUAUUCAUUGUGCAUUUAUAAGAUUUGUUUGUACUUGAUAUUAAGUUACAGUUGGAUAAAUGUAACAGUAUCACUCUUCUAUUACUUUUAAUUUUACAACUUUUUAGUUCAUCUAUUUAAAUAUUCAAAAUUUCUCAGUCCUUUAAGUUUUAAAAUUUACAAUUUUUUAGUCCUUAUAUAUUAAAUUUAGAAACUAUUACGUCCUCCAGUUUUGAAUCAUUACAACUGUUUGGUCCUUCAUUUUAACCAUUCACUUACAAGAAACUAAUAUGCUAAAAUUCCAAUCAUCCAACUUAGAAAAACAAUACAAAAUUCAUUUAUACAUAAAGAACAUACUACAAUCUGGUUGAAAAUAACUUCUAACUUCUGCAACUUUAUAUAUUGCAUCUAAACAACUUUUUAAAGUGUUUUUACAGCAAACACUAUCAAGAGUAACAACAUAAUUAUCAUACAAUUCUUCAUCUGGUUCAAAAUAGCUUCAAUUUUCUGCAGCUUUACAUAUAAUUUUUUUGUCUCUUCAUUAAUCUUCAUCAACUCUUCUUUAGUCUCUGCAAUCGUCCUUGAUAAGUUGGCUUUGAAUAUCUCUAACCCUUCACCUAUACUGUUUGAUGUUGGAGAGUUCACAUUUAUUGGAAUGCACCACCCAAGAAAUGACACACAUUUGUUAUCUCGACAGUAAUAAUACAACUUAUUUGGAUUACUAAUAGAUUCAGAUAUGCGAACCCCCGCUCUUUUUCCACAACAACAAUUCACAUUCAUGUAACCACCAUCCCAGCUUCCCAUCAAUUCGUUGAUGCCAGAUAUUCUUGUGAAGAUAGAAUGAAUCCUUUAGGUGCUUGAUCGUCGGCUAUUAGGAACGGAGGUAGAAUCCUUUCAGUGCUUGGUCGAUGUUGAAGGUAGUCCCUCACAGAGAGUGUGCUGAAGCUCGUCGAGGGUGAGAGAGUAAAUGGAGGAUUGCCUACCGAGAGAUGACGAGAGGUUGCUUUUAAGGUUGUGAUCGGACUGUUAUGGCAAAUCUAACCAUACAUUUCUACCUAAUAGGGAUUGAAAAGGGUAAAAUUGGAUUUUUAAAAUAUUCUCUCUCAUUUUCAUCUUAUUUUUAAUGGAAAAUAUGGUAACAGUGGAUGAAAGGACUGAUUUGUUAAUGGUUUGAUUAUGUAAGGACGUUUUAGUAGGUUUCUGAAAAUAUAGGGACUAACUUAUUAAUAAUGGUAAUAUCCAAAGACUAAAUUGUAAAUCUUUCUAAAUUCUAUUAAGUAAAAAAUAUUAAUUUUAAAUAAUUUAGAUCAACAUUAGUUCGAUGGGCUAUAAUUAAAAUAAUAUUUUAAAAUUUAAACACUAAAAAGUGUUAAAAAGAUUUUUUUUAUAAAAAUUAAAUUAUUUUUAAAGAAAAAUAAUUUAUUUUUUCAAAAGAUAAUUUAUUUUUAGAUUUUGAGAAUUUUUUAACACUAUUAUAUAUAAUUUUAUAAGUAUUUUUAUUUUUUAAAUGAUAAUUACAGAAUACAUAAUAAAUUCGACGUGAGUUUUUCUCUGUGAUCUUUUUGUAACUCGAUAUUCUCGCAUUUUCCUCUUCUUAAACCUAACUUCUUUCUCAUUUCCCAUAAAAGACAAUAUGUGUUGAUUGACUAUCACUGAAGAAGAAAAUAUUAUUAUCUUAUGUAGGGAUUUAAACAGACAUUUGAAAAAUAUUUUUAUCAAAUUAUUUCAUACAGGGAUUUGAUUUUGAAUGAUUGUAAAUAUUUGUUAGAUUACUGCUCAUAUUUUGGCUAAAAAAUCUAUUAGAUAUAAUAAUUUUUUUAUUUAGGAUGAUAUCUCUAUUUAUUUGAUGAAAUCUCGUUAAUACAAUUAGUAAUUUUAUUUUUAAAAAAAAAAACACAUAAUAAAUUAUUUUUUAAAAAAAUUAUUAAAAAUAAUUUUCAUAUUUAAAUUAUUUUCUGUGGUGUAAAUAAAUCUAUUUGAACCGAAUAAAAGUUAAUUAAAAUUUUAAAUGGCAGAUAUAAUGAUUGAUUGGACAGAUCAUUAAAGCAAUGGUAAAGGCAUUUUAUUAAAUUGGAAUUAAUUUAAAAAAAAUCUUUUUCGUAAGCAUAUGAAUAGAUUAAUUUACAUAUUUUAAAUGUUGGAUCAGUUUUUUUUAACGGCAAAAAAUUCGUAUUUUCAAAAUUAAUAAAGUAGCAAAAUUAUAAAAAAAAUUAUAAAUUAUAUAAAUUUUAAAAAAAUAAAUUCAAACGACACAAUUUAAUUAUAAUAUUUAUUUAAAUUCAUAAUAUUUCAAACAUAAUAAUAUUGCUAACAAAUAAAUUUCUUGAUUUUUCAAUCCCUCCACAAGUCAUAAUAUUUUUUAAAAAAACAAUCAUAAAUUUUUUUCCCUUUUAAUAAUUUUAUCCUAAUUUUUUUUCAUAAUAAAUUUAUUAUAAAUUAUGCUCACAUACUUAAUUUAAAAGUUAAUGCUAACUAGAAUUUAAUUUAAGUCUAAGAUUUCUUUAGAUGUGAAAAUAAUUUAUAUUUAACAUUAUUUUAAUAAAAUAACUCAUUUUUAAUUUUUUAAUUUUUUAAUUUAAAAAUAAAAUAUUUUAAUAAAUUUAUAUAUAUAUUAAAAAAGUCUUUUUUUUCCUGAAAUAAUUUUUUUUAUAAAAAAUAUUUUUUAUUAAUUAAUUUUUAAAAAAUAUUUUAAAUAUAAAAAUAAUUUUAAUAAAACAAUCGAAACCUAAAUAAUGAAUAAGGGUUGAUGUGACACUAGAGCGAUGUUUAAGAAAAGUAAUUAACAGUAUAGCAUACAAUUAAUUCAAUUAAACUAAAUUUGUUAAUGGAAAAUUAGAAAACAUUAUUAAAAAAUACACAAAAAUACUAAUUCAGCGUCGAUCAUAUCUCAUCCCUUGAAGGUAUCAUGAGUAGGAGUUUUUCAUGCAAAAAGCAAAGCAAAACUGUCUUGGUUUGCAAUUAUUGGCUUGUAUUGCUUUGUCAAUUGCCAUGCAUUUGAGAAUUUUUACAAAGCAACCGCUGUAUAGUUAACCCCAAUUUAUUGCUUCUUCUGUGCCAAUGGUCAAUAUAAAGACGAAGUUCCUGAUGAUUCAUCCUGCGAAUGCGAAGGUUCUCGGUCUUGUUUUUCAAUCUUUGAAGAGAAGGUUCAUCUUCCUUAUCUUCUUCAAUUCUGCUUCUCUUUUUAUCUCUGGAAAGACGAUCCUCUCGAAAUAUAGGAUGCACUCCACACAUUAUUAUAGAAUCGUAAUCACGAUCCACAUGAUAUUUUGGCUCGUACGAGUGCCUGGAAACGCAGAAUUGAAAGGAAGCUUCAAGGAAACUCUCUUCCAUGUCCAACAGUUUAUUCCAAAGGAACACAUGUUCUGAAUAUAAGGGAUCAAGUACAAAAUUCAGGGCCUCGAAAAUGAAAUUUUCACUGCUAUGUCCAGAUUUUCCGACGAAGUUAGCUAUGCAGCUAAUGUCUAUAAUAUGAUCAUGAGAAAAAACUUUUGGAUCAAAAACAGCACAUAAAGAAAAACCAGUCAAAUUUGCCUGAUCUAGUCUGAAUGAAAGAGAAGAUCCACUUUUGUUCUUAUAUCUCAUCGUUUCAGGCACUUCAACCCCCGGUAUGCAUAACUCAACAAUCUGUACCAUGGAAAUUAUAAAUUUUUUAAGAAAACUAAUAAUAAUAAACAAAAAUUGUACACUCAAAAGGGUUGAUUCUUGUAAGACCAGAGAAAGUAAGGCAUACCUUGUGUUUUAACAGAUGCGUAUUCAAUACAUCCUCCAUUACUUUAUCAUGCACGUUCUUAUCCAAAUUGAUGCAAUUAUGAAACUUAAGUCGUUUUGCUUCUUUUUCAUCAUCAUGUUCUAAGAAAAGGAAUGAAGUUGAUGCAGAUUCCAAAGAUGUGCAAUCUGAUGCAUCUAAAUCUUCUAAGCAUGACGGAAGCUCUGGUAAACAUUUAAGUCUCUUGCAACCUUUUAAUAAAAGCCCCCUCAACUCAGUUAGAUGUUUAAUGCUUGCAGGUGUCGCCUUGAAAUUGUUUCCACCUAAAAAUAAGUCUUCCAAUGACGUUAAAAACCAAACACUCCCACAGUCACUUAAAUCAAUUUCCCUCACACAGGACAGUCCUGUCAAAGGAGGCAAUGUCAAACCUUCACAUCUCGCACAUCUUAACUCUUCCAAUCUUCUCAAUUGAUUGAUGGAGGAUGGUAAUGUUUUUAUUCCACUUCCAGAUAUAUAAAGUUUCUUCAGCAAUUCUAGAUCCCCCAUGUUCUCUGGCAAUGCUUUGACAUUCAAACAGCCUGAGAUAUAAAGGUGUGUAAGAGAUUUCAAAUUGCAGAUGCUUUGUGGAAUACUAUGCAGUUUUGAGCAGUAUUCGAGAUCAAUUUCUUUUAGACAUUUAGACUCGCCAACGCUGCUAGGAAUCUCAAUCAAGUUGCUACAUCCUCUCAAACAUAAAACCUCAAGAUUCGGGGCACUUGACAAGUCUGGAACUUUAGUUAACUCAAAAGAGUAGCUGAGGUCUAAAAAUUUCAAACUUUCAAGAGCCUGUAAUCAAAACGUCAAUAAAAUUAGCAGAAGCUAAUUAACUUUGCACAAUGUAGCUAAAUUUUAUAAAGCAGCAUAAUAACUCUAACCUUCUCUUGAUUCCAGAGUUGGAUGAGGUUGCUGUCUGGCAUGCGAAGUUCUACAAGAUUUCUCGGGCAAAAAUUUAUUGGCAAGGAUUUCAAAGGGUAGUCUUCCCAAUGAUAAUAUCUUAGCUCCUCUGGUAGAAAUUCAAGGCCACUAGGUAGAAGCACUCGUCCUGGUCCGGAUGUAGAAACAUUGAAGAAUUUGAGGAAUCUAAGAUUGCACAUGUUCAUGAAAGCUGUGGGACUUAGCUCCAAAUAUCCAUUUCCAGACAUAUCAAGUAAUAUGCCUUCAAUAUUUUCAGUUCCCUAAGAAAAUAACAACAAACAUUAUAGGCACUGAACUUAAUUCUUAAAACUGCAUAUAAAUAAUAUGUAUGUAUAAUUAAGAAUAUGCACAUUAAUUCUUUUGGUC